UCAUUUUCUUGUGUGAUGAUGUGUC
RNAcentral lists this non-coding RNA (25 nucleotides) under Arabidopsis thaliana (thale cress). Lineage: Eukaryota; Viridiplantae; Streptophyta; Magnoliopsida; Brassicales; Brassicaceae. The record is from RNAcentral.